This 484-nucleotide ribosomal RNA is filed under the name uncultured bacterium. Its description in RNAcentral is "partial 16S ribosomal RNA". It matches the Rfam family "Bacterial small subunit ribosomal RNA", at positions 30 to 507 of the family's 1533-position model. The record is from RNAcentral.
AUUGAACGCUGGCGGCAGGCCUAACACAUGCAAGUCGAGCGGAUGAAGGGAGCUUGCUCCUGGAUUCAGCGGCGGACGGGUGAGUAAUGCCUAGGAAUCUGCCUGGUAGUGGGGGAUAACGUCCGGAAACGGGCGCUAAUACCGCAUACGUCCUGAGGGAGAAAGUGGGGGAUCUUCGGACCUCACGCUAUCAGAUGAGCCUAGGUCGGAUUAGCUAGUUGGUGGGGUAAAGGCCUACCAAGGCGACGAUCCGUAACUGGUCUGAGAGGAUGAUCAGUCACACUGGAACUGAGACACGGUCCAGACUCCUACGGGAGGCAGCAGUGGGGAAUAUUGGACAAUGGGCGAAAGCCUAAUCCAGCCAUGCCGCGUGUGUGAAGAAGGUCUUCGGAUUGUAAAGCACUUUAAGUUGGGAGGAAGGGCAGUAAGCUAAUACCUUGCUGUUUUGACGUUACCAACAGAAUAAGCACCGGCUAACUUCGUG